This 1404-nucleotide ribosomal RNA is filed under the name uncultured bacterium. RNAcentral describes it as "16S ribosomal RNA". It matches the Rfam family "Bacterial small subunit ribosomal RNA". The record is from RNAcentral.
AGAGUUUGAUCCUGGCUCAGGAUGAACGCUAGCGACAGGCUUAACACAUGCAAGUCGAGGGGCAGCGGGGGUGAUGGCUUGCCAUCACCUGCCGGCGACCGGCGCACAGGUGAGUAACACGUAUGCAACCUGCCCGCCACAGGGGGAUAAGCGGAAGAAAUUCCGUCUAAUACCGCGUGACGCGGCGUCGGGGCAUCCCGGUGCCGCCAAAGGGAUUACCGGUGGCGGAUGGGCAUGCGGCGCAUUAGCUAGUCGGCGGGGUAACGGCCCACCGAGGCGACGAUGCGUAGGGGUUCUGAGAGGAAGGUCCCCCACACUGGUACUGAGACACGGACCAGACUCCUACGGGAGGCAGCAGUGAGGAAUAUUGGUCAAUGGGCGGGAGCCUGAACCAGCCAAGUCGCGUGAGGGAUGACGGUCCUACGGAUUGUAAACCUCUUUUGCCGGGGAGCAAGCGUGCGUUCGUGAACGCGCGUCGAGAGUACCCGGAGAAAAAGCAUCGGCUAACUCCGUGCCAGCAGCCGCGGUAAUACGGAGGAUGCGAGCGUUAUCCGGAUUUAUUGGGUUUAAAGGGUGCGUAGGCGGGAUGCCAAGUCAGCGGUAAAAAUGCGGUGCUCAACGCCGUCGAGCCGUUGAAACUGGCGUUCUUGAGUGGGCGAGAAGUAUGCGGAAUGCGUGGUGUAGCGGUGAAAUGCAUAGAUAUCACGCAGAACUCCGAUUGCGAAGGCAGCAUACCGGCGCCCUACUGACGCUGAGGCACGAAAGCGUGGGUAUCGAACAGGAUUAGAUACCCUGGUAGUCCACGCAGUAAACGAUGAAUGCUAACUGUCCGGUGCGAGUGAGCGCUGGGCGGUACAGCGAAAGCGUUAAGCAUUCCACCUGGGGAGUACGCCGGCAACGGUGAAACUCAAAGGAAUUGACGGGGGCCCGCACAAGCGGAGGAACAUGUGGUUUAAUUCGAUGAUACGCGAGGAACCUUACCCGGGCUCAAACGCAGGAUGACGGGUCCCGAAAGGGGCCUUUCUUCGGACAUUCUGCGAGGUGCUGCAUGGUUGUCGUCAGCUCGUGCCGUGAGGUGUCGGCUUAAGUGCCAUAACGAGCGCAACCCCUGUCCACAGUUGCCAGCAGGUAAAGCUGGGGACUCUGUGGAGACUGCCGGCGCAAGCUGCGAGGAAGGCGGGGAUGACGUCAAAUCAGCACGGCCCUUACGUCCGGGGCGACACACGUGUUACAAUGGCAGGUACAGCGGGAUGCCACGGGGCGACCCGGCGCUGAACCCGAAAACCUGUCUCAGUUCGGAUUGGAGUCUGCAACCCGACUCCAUGAAGCUGGAUUCGCUAGUAAUCGCGCAUCGGCCACGGCGCGGUGAAUACGAUGGCCGGGCCUUGCACACACCGCCCGUCA